Non-coding RNA from Oryza meridionalis, 209 nucleotides. The record is from Rfam. Lineage: Eukaryota; Viridiplantae; Streptophyta; Magnoliopsida; Poales; Poaceae.
AAUAAGUGUAGUUUUACACUAUUCACGUUUAACGUUUGACUGCUCGUCUUAUUUGAAAAUUUUUUAUGAUUAGUAUUUCUAUUGUUAUUAAAUGAUAAAAUACGAAUAGUACUUUAUGUGUGACUAAUUUUUUUAAUUUUUUUAUAAUUUUUUUUCAAAUAAGACGAAUGGUCAAACGUUGGAUACGGAUAUCCAUGGCUGCACNNNNN